RNAcentral lists this ribosomal RNA (838 nucleotides) under Aporcelaimellus pycnus. RNAcentral describes it as "LSU rRNA". It matches the Rfam family "Eukaryotic large subunit ribosomal RNA", at positions 343 to 965 of the family's 3401-position model. The record is from RNAcentral. Lineage: Eukaryota; Metazoa; Nematoda; Enoplea; Dorylaimida; Aporcelaimidae.
UACAAGUACCCGUGAGGGAAAGUUGAAAAGAACUUUGAAGAGAGAGUUCAAAAGGGCGUGAAACCGCUUAGAAGAAAACGGACGGAGCCGUCGGGAGCCUYCGGGAAUCAGUCUUACGAUGGGCGAACGUCUCGACGAUUCGGAACGCAAGUCCGAUCGUUGGGUACGACUAGUAGUCUUCGUUUGGCGCAUUUCUCGAAGGUAAGCACCGCGACCGAUACGAAAGGCCGACGAAGCGUUUGGAUUGAGGGCGAGACCUUUCGCGAGGUAUUCGUAACCAGUCCUUACGUCUUGAGUCGUCGGACCGCAGUAUGUAUCGAGCGCCAAAGUAAUCGUAUAUACAUCGGCCGCAAAGCUCGCUCGAGUAACGGAUAGUCGAUCAAUAGUGUYGGUACUUGCUCGCAGGUGCCGAUCUAUUCGAUUCGCCUUUGAAGUUAUCGGCGACGUUCUCGRUGUAUAGGCGUCUGCGGUGUCAGUGUCGGCCACCCGUCCGACCCGUCUUGAAACACGGACCAAGGAGUCUAACAUAUGCGCGAGCUAAUGGGCGGAAAACCCAAAAGCGUAAUAAAAGUAAAGGCCGUUUCGGACGGCUAAGGUACGAUCCUAGAGUCCGCGCGAUUUUAGGCGCAGUACCGUCCCGUCCCGACCGCUUGUCGGUAGGGCGGAGACAGAGUGCAUACGUUGGGACCCGAAAGAUGGUGAACUAUGCCUGAGCAGAGCGAAGCCAGAGGAAACUCUGGUGGAGGUUCGUAGCGGUUCUGACGUGCAAAUCGAUCGUCAGACUUGGGUAUAGGGGCGAAAGACUAAUCGAACCAUCUAGUAGCUGUUUCCUUCCGAA